This 349-nucleotide unclassified non-coding RNA is filed under the name soil metagenome. RNAcentral's name for it is "partial contains 5.8S ribosomal RNA, internal transcribed spacer 2, and large subunit ribosomal RNA". The stretch from base 1 to 119 matches the Rfam family "5.8S ribosomal RNA", at positions 35 to 154 of the family's 154-position model. The record is from RNAcentral.
GAUGAAGAACGUAGCGAACUGCGAUAAGAAUGUGAAUUGCAGAAUUCAGUGAAUCAUCGAGUCUUUGAACGCACAUUGCGCCCCCUGGCAUUCCGGGGGGCAUGCCUGUCCGAGCGUCAUUGCUGCCCUUCAAGCCCGGCUUGUGUGUUGGGUCGUCGUCCCCCCCGGGGGACGGGCCCGAAAGGCAGCGGCGGCACCGCGUCCGGUCCUCGAGCGUAUGGGGCUUUGUCACCCGCUCGAUUAGGGCCGGCCGGGCGCCAGCCGGCGUCUCCAACCUUCUAUUUUACCAGGUUGACCUCGGAUCAGGUAGGGAUACCCGCUGAACUUAAGCAUAUCAAUAAGCGGAGGA